AGAGGCCAGAAACCUGGAAACUUGAUACUACUGGACAAGAGAAUGGGGCAUAUUGAAAAUGAUAAGAGAAACAAGGCCUUCGAAGAAGGAAACUGUAGAAAUGCGAGAUGAACCAUCCAGUCUCUUUCUUGGAGCAUCAAAGCUUGGCUGCUGAAAUUCUGGAGCUGAUGGCAGAGAGAUUAGUGGUCUCAACAUUCAGUCUUCUGGGGACCAAGGAAGGAAGCAGAGAUGAUCAUAUCGUUGGCUGUGUGUUGGAGCUGAGAAGUGCAGGGUGAGG
Molecule: long non-coding RNA, 277 nt
Organism: Mirounga angustirostris (Northern elephant seal)
Lineage: Eukaryota; Metazoa; Chordata; Mammalia; Carnivora; Phocidae
Exons: 3
Source: RefSeq, a predicted model, not a curated record